CGUCGAAGGUAUACCGACAAGGAGUGCUGGAGCGAAUAGAAGUGAGCAUGCAGGCAUGAGUAGCGAUAAUUAAUGUGAGAAUCAUUAACGCCGUAAACCCAAGGUUUCCUACGCGAUGCUCGUCAUCGUAGGGUUAGUCGGGUCCUAAGCUGAGUCCGAAAGGGGUAAGCGAUGGCAAAUAGGUUAAUAUUCCUAUACCAACAUUAGUGUGCGAUGGAAGGACGCUUAGGGCUAAGGGGGCUAGCGGAUGGAAGUGCUAGUCUAAGGUCGUAGGAGGUUAUACAGGCAAAUCCGUAUAACAAUACUCCGAGAACUGAAAGGCUUUUUGAAGUCUUCGGAUGGAAAGAAGAACCCCUGAUGCCGUCGAGCCAAGAAAAGUUUCUAAGUUUAGCUAAUGUUGCCCGUACCGUAAACCGACACAGGUGGGUGGGAUGAGUAUUCUAAGGCGCGUGGAAGAACUCUCUUUAAGGAACUCUGCAAAAUAGCACCGUAUCUUCGGUAUAAGGUGUGCCUCCCUUUGUAUUAGAAUUCACUUCGAAAGCAAAGAAGGUUACAACAAAGAGUCCCUCCCGACUGUUUACCAAAAACACAGCACUCUGCUAACUCGUAAGAGGAUGUAUAGGGUGUGACGCCUGCCCGGUGCUCGAAGGUUAAUUGAUGGGGUUAGCAUUAGCGAAGCUCUUGAUCGAAGCCCGAGUAAACGGCGGCCGUAACUAUAACGGUCCUAAGGUAGCGAAAUUCCUUGUCGGUUAAAUACCGACCUGCAUGAAUGGCGUAACGAGAUGGGAGCUGUCUCAAAGAGGGAUCCAGUGAAAUUGUAGUGGAGGUGAAAAUUCCUCCUACCCGCGGCAAGACGGAAAGACCCCGUGGACCUUUACUACAGCUUGACACUGCUAUUUGGAUAAGAAUGUGCAGGAUAGGUGGGAGGCUUUGAGUAUAUGACGCCAGUUGUAUAUGAGCCAUUGUUGAGAUACCACUCUUUCUUAUUUGGGUAGCUAACCAGCUUGAGUUAUCCUCAAGUGGGACAAUGUCUGGUGGGUAGUUUGACUGGGGCGGUCGCCUCCCAAAUAAUAACGGAGGCUUACAAAGGUUGGCUCAUAGCGGUUGGAAAUCGCUAGUAGAGUAUAAAGGUAUAAGCCAGCUUAACUGCAAGACAUACAAGUCAAGCAGAGACGAAAGUCGGUCUUAGUGAUCCGGUGGUUCUGUGUGGAAGGGCCAUCGCUCAAAGGAUAAAAGGUACCCCGGGGAUAACAGGCUGAUCUCCCCCAAGAGCUCACAUCGACGGGGAGGUUUGGCACCUCGAUGUCGGCUCAUCGCAUCCUGGGGCUGGAGCAGGUCCCAAGGGUAUGGCUGUUCGCCAUUUAAAGCGGUACGCGAGCUGGGUUCAGAACGUCGUGAGACAGUUCGGUCCCUAUCUGCCGUGGGCGUAAGAAGAUUGAAGAGAUUUGACCCUAGUACGAGAGGACCGGGUUGAACAAACCACUGGUGUAGCUGUUGUUCUGCCAAGAGCAUCGCAGCGUAGCUAAGUUUGGAAAGGAUAAACGCUGAAAGCAUCUAAGCGUGAAGCCAACUCUAAGAUGAAUCUUCUCUAAGCUCUCUAGAAGACUACUAGUUUGAUAGGCUGGGUGUGUAAUGGAUGAAAGUCCUUUAGCUGACCAGUACUAAUAGAGCGUUUGGCUUAUCUUAUAAA
This 1690-nucleotide ribosomal RNA is filed under the name Campylobacter upsaliensis. RNAcentral's name for it is "partial 23S ribosomal RNA". It matches the Rfam family "Bacterial large subunit ribosomal RNA", at positions 1248 to 2925 of the family's 2925-position model. The record is from RNAcentral. Lineage: Bacteria; Pseudomonadati; Campylobacterota; Epsilonproteobacteria; Campylobacterales; Campylobacteraceae.